Molecule: ribosomal RNA, 513 nt
Filed under: uncultured bacterium
Lineage: Bacteria
Description: bacterial SSU rRNA
Rfam family: Bacterial small subunit ribosomal RNA
Source: RNAcentral
AGAGUUUGAUCCUGGCUCAGGACGAACGCUGGCGGCGUGCUUAAUACAUGCAAGUCGAGCGACGAAGCAGAAAGGGGUAACCCUUUCUGUGGAAAGCGGCGAACGGGUGAGUAACACGUGGGCAACGUGCCCCGGACUCGGGAAUAACAACGGGAAACCGUUGCUAAUGCCCGACGAUCUCUAUGCACCGCAUGGCGCGUAGAGCAAAGCUCCGGCUGUCUGGGAUCGGCCCGCGGCCUAUCAGCUUGUUGGUGAGGUAACGGCCCACCAAGGCGAUGACGGGUAGCUGGCGUGAGAGCGUGGCCAGCCACACUGGGACUGAGACACGGCCCAGACUCCUACGGGAGGCAGCAGUAGGGAAUCUUGCGCAAUGGGCGAAAGCCUGACGCAGCGACGCCGCGUGAGGGAUGACGGCCUUCGGGUUGUAAACCUCUUUCAGCAGGGACGAAGCGAAAGUGACGGUACCUGCAGAAGAAGCCCCGGCCAACUACGUGCCAGCAGCGGCGGUAAUAC